CAACGCCGCGUGGAGGAUGAAGUACUUCGGUACGUAAACUCCCUUCGAUCGGGACGAUAAUGACGGUACCGGAAGAAGAAGCCCCGGCUAACUUCGUGCCAG
This 102-nucleotide ribosomal RNA is filed under the name uncultured bacterium. Its description in RNAcentral is "partial 16S ribosomal RNA". It matches the Rfam family "Bacterial small subunit ribosomal RNA", at positions 392 to 511 of the family's 1533-position model. The record is from RNAcentral.